This 1454-nucleotide ribosomal RNA is filed under the name uncultured Bordetella sp. RNAcentral describes it as "partial 16S-23S ribosomal RNA intergenic spacer". It matches the Rfam family "Bacterial small subunit ribosomal RNA". The record is from RNAcentral. Lineage: Bacteria; Pseudomonadati; Pseudomonadota; Betaproteobacteria; Burkholderiales; Alcaligenaceae.
AGUUUGGAUCAUGGCUCAGAUUGAACGCUGGCGGGAUGCUUACACAUGCAAGUCGAACGCAGCACGGACUUCGGUCUGGUGGCGAGUGGCGAACGGGUGAGUAAUGUAUCGGAACGUGCCUAGUAGCGGGGGAUAAUCGAUGAAAGUAGACAAUACCGCAUACGUUCUUCGGGGGAAAGCGGUAUCUUCGGUCGCACCAUUAGAGCGGCCGAUAUCGGAUUAGCCGAAGCAGGGUAACGGCUCACCAAGGCGACGAUCCGUAGCUGGUUUGAGAGGACGACCAGCCACACUGGGACUGAGACACGGCCCAGACUCCUACGGGAGGCAGCAGUGGGGUCUGGAUAAUGGGAACUUGAUCCAGCCAUCUCGCGCGUGCGAUGAAGGCCUUCGGGUUGUAAAGCACUUUUGCAGAGAAAGAAACGGCACGGGAUAAUACCCCGUGCAACUGACGGUACCUGCAGAAUAAGCAACUGGCCAACUACGUGCCAGCAGCCGCGGUAAGCCAUGUAGGUGCAAGCGUUAAUCGGAAUUGACAGCGUAAAGCGUGCGCAGGCGGUUCGGAAAGAAAGAUGUGAAAUCCUAGAGCUUAACUUUGGAACUGCAUUUUUAACUACCGAGCUAGAGUGUGUCAGAGUGGAGGUGGGAAUUCCGCGUGUAGCAGUGAAAUGCGUGCAUAUGCGGAGGAACACCGAUGGCGAAGGCAGCCUCCUGGGAUAACACUGACGCUCAUGCACGAAAGCGUGGGGAGCAAACAGGAUUAGAUAUCUGGUAGUCCACGCCCUAAACGAUGUCAACUAGCUGUUGGGGCUCGCCUUGGUAGCGCAGCUAACGCAAGUUGACCGCCUGGGGAGUACGGUCGCAAGAUUAAAACUCAGCAAUUCGAUUUAACUGCACAAGCGGUGGAUGACGUGGAUUAAUUCGAUGCAACGCGAAAAACCUUACCUACCCUUGACAUGUCUGGAAUCCCGAAGAGAUUUGGGAGUGCUCGCAAGAGAACCGGAACACAGGUGCUGCAUGGCUGUCGUCAGCUCGUGUCGUGAGAUGUUGGGUUAAGUCCCGCAACGAGCGCAACCCUUGUCAUUAGUUGCUGAAAGGGCACUCUAAUGAGACUGCCGGUGACAAACCGAGAAGGUGGACGACGGUCAAGUCCUCAUGGCCCUUAUGGGUAGGGCUUCACACGUCAUAAUGGUCGGGACAGAGGCCGCCAACCUGCGAGGGGGAGCCAAUCCCAGAAACCCGAUCGCAGUCCGAUCGCAGUCUGCAACUCGACUGCGUGAAGUCGGAAUCGCUAGUAAUCGCGGAUCAGCAUGUCGCGGUGAAUACGUUCCCGGGUCUUGCACACACCGCCCAUCACACCAUGGGAGUGGGUUUACCAGAAGUAGUUAGCCUUAACCGUAAGUGGAGGCGAUUACCACGGUGAGAUUCAUGACUGGGGUGAAGUCGUAACAAGGUAA